UAAAAAAUUGCAAGGGCGUAUGGUGAAUGCCUUGGGUGUUGGAGACGAUGAAGGGCGUGGCGUGACUGCGAAAAGCUUCGGUGAGCUGUCUAGCAAGCUUUGACCCGGAGAUAUCCGAAUGGGGAAACCCCUCUUGGAAAACCCGAGAGAUUGCUACUUGAAUUCAUAGAGUAGUGAAGUGAACCUAGGGAAUUGAAACAUCUUAGUACCUAGAGGAAAGGAAAAAAAGUUAAUUUUUUUCUUCGGCUUUACAGUCGAGGAAGGAACUUAACACAUUCCCUUAGUAGCGGCGAGCGAAAAGGGAUCAGCCUGUGUUAUUGUUUUAUCUUAUUGUUAGUCGAACGUCUCUGGAAAGAGCGACCAUAGAAGGUAAUAGUCCUGUAGACGAAAACGUAUAAUAAAGCGGUGACAUGAACGAGUAUCUUGGGGCGAUAACCCUGGGAGAAGAUAGUUUUGCUUUUGUAGAGCUAUCAACCGGGACUACCCGGAAAGGCUAAAUACUACCAACACACCGAUAGCGAACUAGUACCGUGAGGGAAAGGUGAAAAGUACCCCUUUUAGGGGAGUGAAAUAGUAUCUGAAACCAUAUGCUUACAAAGAGUAGGAGCUCGAUUAAAGUACUUGUACUUUGUUGAGUGACUGCGUGCUUUUUGCAGAACGAACCGACGAGUUUUUAUAUUUGGCUCUGACUAAACUAUUUAGGUAGUGUAGUCUUAGGGAAACCGAGUGUUAAUAGCGCGAACUAAAAGUCAAAUGCAAAAGACCCGAAUCCGGGCGAUCUAGCCAUGACCAGGGUGAACCUCAAGUAACAUUGAGGGAAGGCCCGCACCCACUAGUCGUAUAACGCUAGGGGAUGAGUUGUGGUUAGCGGUGAAAGUCCAAUCGAGCCCGGCAAUAGCUGGUUCUCCUCGAAAUAUCUUUAGGGAUAGCGUUCGUUUAGGUUUCCGGGGGUAGAGCACUGCAUGACUGCGGGUGGAGUAAUCCUACUGUAGUUAAGCAAACUCCGAAUACUGGAAAUUUUAUUGCGAAUAGUCAGGCCUAGGGGGCUAAGCUCCUAGGUCAAGAGGGAAACAACCCAGACCACCAUCUAAGGUCCCCAAAUCAUGCUAAGUGGCAAAAGAGGUGAAAUCUCAUAGACACCUAGGAGGUUGGCUUAGAAGCAGCCAUCCUUAAAAGAAAGCGUAACAGCUCACUGGUUUAGAGGUUUUGCACUUAAGAUGUAACGGGGCUAAGCAUGAUACCGAAGAUGUGGCUCGUUUUUGACCUUAGGGUCAUUUACGGGGGUAGAGGAGCAUCUCUAGGGCGUCGAAGCCAGACUUGCGAGAGCUGGUGGAGCGCUAGGGAGCGAGAAUGUCGGUAUGAGUAACCACAAGGCGGGUGAGAUUCCCGCCCACCGAAAGUCUAAGGUUUCCUGGGCAAUGAUGAUCAUCCCAGGGUUAGUCGGUCCUAAGUCGAGGCCUAAAGGCGUAGACGAUGGACAGCAGGUUAAUAUUCCUGCACUUUGUAAAAGUUUGUUUUAACGAGACGUGGUUUAGGAGAUUGAGCUUGUUAUUGGAUUUGAGUCCAUCCUUGUGGUGGCGUAUCAUUCCUUCGGGUUUGAGCAGUCAAUCAAAUAAAUUACCGAGAAAAUUGUUAAUACUUAUACUUUUAUGAAUCCGUACCGUAAACCAACACAGGUAGACAGGGCGAGUAGCCCAAGGUGAAUAAGUUAAUCCUUCCUAAGGAACUCGGCAAAAUAGCUAGGCGUAACUUCGGAAGAUGCCUUGCCCGUGUUUGGGAUUUAGGAUAUUUAAUUGUAUCUUGAACCCUGAACAUGGGCCGCAGCUAAAGAGUCCUGGCGACUGUUUAUCAAAAACACAGCUCUCUGCUAACUCGAAAGAGGAUGUAUAGGGGGUGACGCCUGACCAGUGCCAGAAGGUCAAGGGUGGUGGUCUUGCAUUUAUGUAAGGCUAGCCGCUUUAAGCCCUGGUGAACGUCAGCGAUAACUAUAAUCGUUCUAAGGUGAAUUUCUUGCCUUAGUGAGGUGUAAGCCCUCCUUUUGAACUCCAUUGCCGUGGAGAUGUAGAAAGAAAAUUUGGCUAAAUGCUGGAAUACCCGCAAUGUAUCCUUGAGUACCAAAGUUGUAACAAUCUCAAGGUGAAGCGGACAAUCAGCAGGAAAGGUUUUUGUUUACUAACAGAAGAAUCCUCAGAGACUAUACGCCAGACCCACUGACGGGAAGAUAUAGUCCGAACUCUAUGGCGACAUAGAGAGUGUGAUAGAAAUAAUCACACCGCUACAUUAAGUUGUGGUAGUAACAAAUUGAGCGAAAUUCCUUGCGGGGUAAGUUCCCGCCCGCACGAAAGGCGUAACGACUGGGACACUGUCUCAGGAAGGAGCUUGGUGAAAAUGCAGUACCGGUAAAGAUGCCGGUUACCUGCGGCAAGACGAAAAGACCCCGGGAGCUUUACUAUAGCUUGGUAUUGGUUUUUGUAUAUUUCUGCUAAGAAUAGGCGGGAGGCUUUGAAGCUACUCUUUUGGGAGUAGUGGAGCCGCCAGUGAGAUACCGCCCUUAAAUAUGCUCUGGUCUAACUAGAAUCCGUGAAUCCGGAUCUAGGACAUUGCCUGGUGGGUAGUUUAAGUGGGGC
Molecule: ribosomal RNA, 2627 nt
Filed under: Candidatus Woesebacteria bacterium
Lineage: Bacteria; Candidatus Woeseibacteriota
Description: bacterial LSU rRNA
Rfam family: Bacterial large subunit ribosomal RNA
Source: RNAcentral